UACGUAGGCAGCGAGCGUUGUUCGGAGUUACUGGGCGUAAAGAGUGCGUAGGCGGUUUUCUAAGUUUGGUGUGAAAUCUCCCGGCUCAACUGGGAGGGUGCGCCGAAGACUGGAAGGCUUGAGUAUGGGAGAGGUAAGCGGAAUUCCUGGUGUAGCGGUGAAAUGCGCAGAUAUCAGGAGGAACACCGAUGGCGAAGGCAGGUCUCUGGGCAUUAACUGACGCUGAGGAGCGAAAGCAUGGGGAGCGAACAGG
This 253-nucleotide ribosomal RNA is filed under the name uncultured bacterium. RNAcentral describes it as "partial 16S ribosomal RNA". It matches the Rfam family "Bacterial small subunit ribosomal RNA", at positions 524 to 776 of the family's 1533-position model. The record is from RNAcentral.